CCUACGGGAGGCUGCAGUGGGGAAUAUUGCUCAAUGGGCGCAAGCCUGAAGCAGCCAAGCCGCGUGGAGGAUGAAGGUUCUCGGGUUGUUAACCACUUUUGAUAGAGAAGAUAAUGGAGGUAUUUAUCCCUUCAGCUAUGGAUAAUUCCGGUCCAGCAGCCGCGGUAAUACGGCGGGUGCCAGCGUUACUCGGAAUUACUGGGCGUAAAGCGGACGUAGGCGGGUUAUCAAGUCAGAUGUGAAAUCCUUUGGCUCAACCAUAGAACUGCAUUUGAAACUGGCAGUCUGGAGUAGGGUUGAGGUAGGUGGAAUUCGUGGUGUAGGGGUGAAAUGCGUAGAGAUCAAGAAGAAUACCGAUUGCGAAGGCGGCCUGCUAGAA
This 379-nucleotide ribosomal RNA is filed under the name uncultured bacterium. Its description in RNAcentral is "partial 16S ribosomal RNA". It matches the Rfam family "Bacterial small subunit ribosomal RNA", at positions 338 to 734 of the family's 1533-position model. The record is from RNAcentral.